UUAAUAUAAGGGCAAACCUAUUCGAAAGUUAGGGACGCAAAACCACAGGUCUAAAGUCUGCUAUAGAGACAAUGAUGGCUGGGCUGUCGUA
Molecule: non-coding RNA, 91 nt
Filed under: Clostridiales bacterium oral taxon 876 str. F0540
Lineage: Bacteria; Bacillati; Bacillota; Clostridia; Eubacteriales
Also listed under: 1 other name
Description: c-di-GMP-I riboswitch aptamer
Rfam family: c-di-GMP-I riboswitch aptamer
About the family: GEMM was predicted in a large-scale screen for bacterial structured RNA regulatory elements. Genes associated with GEMM are involved in a diverse array of functions, including chemotaxis regulation, signal transduction, secretion and chitin.
Source: Rfam by way of RNAcentral